Molecule: ribosomal RNA, 478 nt
Filed under: Staphylococcus aureus
Lineage: Bacteria; Bacillati; Bacillota; Bacilli; Caryophanales; Staphylococcaceae
Description: bacterial SSU rRNA
Rfam family: Bacterial small subunit ribosomal RNA
Source: RNAcentral
UUUAUGGAGAGUUUGAUCCUGGCUCAGGAUGAACGCUGGCGGCGUGCCUAAUACAUGCAAGUCGAGCGAACGGACGAGAAGCUUGCUUCUCUGAUGUUAGCGGCGGACGGGUGAGUAACACGUGGAUAACCUACCUAUAAGACUGGGAUAACUUCGGGAAACCGGAGCUAAUACCGGAUAAUAUUUUGAACCGCAUGAUUCAAAAGUGAAAGACGGUCUUGCUGUCACUUAUAGAUGGAUCCGCGCUGCAUUAGCUAGUUGGUAAGGUAACGGCUUACCAAGGCAACGAUGCAUAGCCGACCUGAGAGGGUGAUCGGCCACACUGGAACUGAGACACGGUCCAGACUCCUACGGGAGGCAGCAGUAGGGAAUCUUCCGCAAUGGGCGAAAGCCUGACGGAGCAACGCCGCGUGAGUGAUGAAGGUCUUCGGAUCGUAAAACUCUGUUAUUAGGGAAGAACAUAUGUGUAAGUAACUGU